UGGGGAAUAUUGGACAAUGGGCGAAAGCCUGAUCCAGCCAUGCCGCGUGUGUGAAGAAGGUCUUCGGAUUGUAAAGCACUUUAAGUUGGGAGGAAGGGCAGUAAGUUAAUACCUUGCUGUUUUGACGUUACCGACAGGAUAAGCACCGGCUAACUCUGUGCCAG
RNAcentral lists this ribosomal RNA (164 nucleotides) under uncultured bacterium. RNAcentral describes it as "partial 16S rRNA". It matches the Rfam family "Bacterial small subunit ribosomal RNA", at positions 355 to 511 of the family's 1533-position model. The record is from RNAcentral.